AAUAUGAAGGUUAUAUAGAAAAGAAAGAUAUUGUGCUGGCAUCAAAUUUUUCAUCUGUUGGCAUUGCCACAUGUUUAAAAGUUGAGAGGAAAAUUCUUUCUUUUAUGGUUUAAUGGAUUCUUCAACUUUUAUCACACAUAAAGGAAGGUAUUACAUUCCUUAUCUCGUGUUUAUUUUUAUUCUCUUCUUUUUUCAUCCACAUUCAUCAGUCAAUAUCAAAUUACAGGAAGGCAUAUUAUAGGCUAGCUCUAUAGCAAAACAUGAACCAGGUUCGUCCAAGGAAGUAAUGUGUAUUAAUUGGAAUUCAAGUGUGAACAAAAUGAAUAGUAUAUUAAAAAUGUGACUCAUAAACCUAAUAUUUUUAAGAUUUUUGGUAGAGAUUUGGUGUUAAUAUCUCCUGAUUAUUGCGAUCGAUUUAGUGUCGAGAUGUUUUUUGUGGUUUUGAUUAUUUAGCUCGUUGUUGCUCUCGAUACUCCUUGAACUCUCCAACAUAUAUUGUCCCGAAACCAUAUCCAAUAAUUGAUGUGAUAAGUGUAGCCUUAGAUUUUAAUCCGGUAGUUUAGAUUUUAAAAUCUAGGAGCAUCUCAAAUAAAGAUAUCUAGUGAGUUUCAUAAAAUUUGUAGAAGUGUUUAAAUAAAGUACGGUGUCAUCGUUAAGGUUUAGUUGUAAUAAAAUAUUCUAUCAUCAUUAAUAUAUGGUAUCUUAUGUUUUUUUACCAUUGAA
RNAcentral lists this long non-coding RNA (723 nucleotides) under Trifolium pratense (red clover). Its description in RNAcentral is "long non-coding RNA (TPRA_LNC002883)". The record is from RNAcentral. Lineage: Eukaryota; Viridiplantae; Streptophyta; Magnoliopsida; Fabales; Fabaceae.